Molecule: ribosomal RNA, 116 nt
Filed under: Periophthalmus magnuspinnatus
Lineage: Eukaryota; Metazoa; Chordata; Actinopteri; Gobiiformes; Gobiidae
Source: RNAcentral
UUUUGGUAUUAUACUGGCUCAUCAAGGCUUGAUCUUGUCACAUCACACAAGCUAAGUAGGGCUGGGCCUGAUUAGUACUUGGAUGGGGAACCACUAGGAAUAUCAGGCACCACAGU